RNAcentral lists this antisense RNA (75 nucleotides) under Frankia canadensis. RNAcentral's name for it is "ASpks TB sRNA". It matches the Rfam family "ASpks TB sRNA". Lineage: Bacteria; Bacillati; Actinomycetota; Actinomycetes; Frankiales; Frankiaceae. The record is from Rfam by way of RNAcentral.
CUUGACCGAACCGAGCCACAGCGGCCGGUCGGCGGGGCGGCCGCGCCCGUACGUCCCGAGCAGGGCCUGGACCUC